AUUGAAUGCUGGCGGCAUGCCUAACACAUGCAAGUCGAACGGUAACGACCCUGUGAAGCUUCGGUGGAACAGGUGGGCGACGAGUGGCGGACGGGUGAGUAACGCGUAGGAAUCUGCCCUAAAGUGGGGGACAACCCGGGGAAACUCGGGCUAAUACCGCAUAUGCCCUACGGGGUAAAGAAGGCCUCUAUACUAUGCUUUCGCUUUAGGAGGAGCCUGCGUCGGAUUAGCUUGUUGGUAGGGUAAUGGCCUACCAAGGCAACGAUCCGUAGCUGGUCUGAGAGGAUGACCAGCCACACUGGGACUGAGACACGGCCCAG
Molecule: ribosomal RNA, 320 nt
Filed under: uncultured bacterium
Lineage: Bacteria
Description: bacterial SSU rRNA
Rfam family: Bacterial small subunit ribosomal RNA
Source: RNAcentral